This 465-nucleotide ribosomal RNA is filed under the name uncultured bacterium. Its description in RNAcentral is "partial 16S ribosomal RNA". It matches the Rfam family "Bacterial small subunit ribosomal RNA", at positions 338 to 795 of the family's 1533-position model. The record is from RNAcentral.
CCUACGGGAGGCAGCAGUGGGGAAUUUUGCGCAAUGCUCGUAAGAGUGACGCAGCGACGCCGCGUGAAUGACGAAGGCCUUCGGGUCGUAAAGUUCUUUCGACAGGGAAGAACAUGCCUAUAAGUAACUGUGUAUGUAUUGACGGUACCUGUAUAAGCAGCCCCGGCUAACUCCGUGCCAGCAGACGCGGUAAUACGGAGGGGGCGAGCGUUGUUCGGAGUGACUGGGCGUAAAGAGCACGUAGGCGGUGUUGUAAGUCAUUAGUCAACGACUAGAGUUCAAAUUUAGUAAGGCUAGUGAUACUAUAAUACGAGAGGAUCAGAGAGGAUUGCAGAAGUCCUGGUGUAGCGGUGAAAUGCGUAGAUAUCAGGAGGAAUACCGUUAGCGAAGGCGGCAAUCUGGCUGGAAACUGACGCUGAGGUGCGAAAGCGUGGGUAGCAAACAGGAUUAGAUACCCUUGUAGUC